AUUGAACGCUGGCGGCAGGCUUAACACAUGCAAUUCGAGCGAUCGGCGGACGGUUGAGUAAUUUCUGGGAAACUGCCUGAUGGGGGGGGAUAACUACUGGAAACGGUAGCUAAUCCCGCAUACCAUCAGAUUUGCCCAGUGGGGAUUAGCUAGUAGGUGGGGUAAUGGCUCACCUAGGCGACGAUCCCUAGUUGGGCUGAGAGGAUGACCAGCCACACUGGAACUGAGACACGGUCCAGACUCCUAUGGGAGGCAGCAGUGGGGAAUAUUGCACAAUGGGCGAAAGCCUGAUGCAGCCAUGCCGCGUGUGUGAAGAAGGCCGUCGGGUUGUAAAGCACUUUCAGCGAGGAGGCGUUACUCGCAGAAGAAGCACCGGCUAACUCCGUGCCAGCAGCCGCGGUAAUAC
Molecule: ribosomal RNA, 406 nt
Filed under: uncultured bacterium
Lineage: Bacteria
Description: partial 16S ribosomal RNA
Rfam family: Bacterial small subunit ribosomal RNA
Source: RNAcentral